CCCCUAAUCGGGGCGCAGCCUGAUCAGCAUGCCGCGUGGGUGAAGAAGGCCUUCGGGUUGUAAAGCCCUUUCGGCGGGGAAGAAAUCGGUCAGGCGAAUAGUCUGGCUGGAUGACGGUACCCGCAGAAGAAGCACCGGCUAACUACGUGCCAGCAGCCGCGGUAAUUGA
This 169-nucleotide ribosomal RNA is filed under the name uncultured bacterium. RNAcentral's name for it is "partial 16S ribosomal RNA". It matches the Rfam family "Bacterial small subunit ribosomal RNA", at positions 359 to 528 of the family's 1533-position model. The record is from RNAcentral.